RNAcentral lists this unclassified non-coding RNA (351 nucleotides) under Hevea brasiliensis (rubber tree). Lineage: Eukaryota; Viridiplantae; Streptophyta; Magnoliopsida; Malpighiales; Euphorbiaceae. The record is from RNAcentral.
GAUGAAGGAGAUGAAGAUCAUAAUGAGUCAUGACCCUUGAAGUUGUAUCACAUGUUUGAUAUGAUCAGCUGGGCAACUAAGGACCCUUUGGCAGUCACAGGUAGCUAGAAUGGGAUGUUUAUUAUGGCAGGCUCCAGCAUACAUAAACAGUGAAACUUUUUAUAUCGGUUCUUUUCUGUUUCUCUUAGUGCUGAGAGCUCUUAUGAAAUGGCAUUAAGGGUGUUUUACUACGUAUUUUUUUAUGUAAUGGGUGUUGAGAUGUUAAUCCAAAUGCCUGGAAAUUUUUGGUUUGCUUGAUAAGUUGAUGAUGAGAUUAGAAUGUUAAUGAAAACAAUUUCAUUUCCUUUGGGC